This is a small nuclear RNA of Sapajus apella (tufted capuchin), 109 nucleotides long. The record is from RefSeq and is a predicted model, not a curated record. Lineage: Eukaryota; Metazoa; Chordata; Mammalia; Primates; Cebidae.
GUGCUCGCUUCGGCAGCACAUAUACUAAAAUUGGAACGAUACAGAGAAGAUUAGCAUGGCCCCUAAAAAAAAAUAAAACAGGGAGGGGGCAGAGAAACUGCAUAGAUUA